ACGGGUGAGUAAUGCAUCGGGACCUACCCAGACGUGGGGGAUAACGUAGGGAAACUUACGCUAAUACCGCAUACGUCCUACGGGAGAAAGCAGGGGACCUUCGGGCCUUGCGCGGUUGGACGGACCGAUGUGCGAUUAGCUAGUUGGUAGGGUAAUGGCCUACCAAGGCGACGAUCGCUAGCUGGUCUGAGAGGAUGAUCAGCCACACUGGGACUGAGACACGGCCCAGACUCCUACGGGAGGCAGCAGUGGGGAAUAUUGGACAAUGGGCGCAAGCCUGAUCCAGCAAUGCCGCGUGUGUGAAGAAGGCCCUCGGGUUGUAAAGCACUUUUAUCAGGAACGAAAUACCACGGGUUAAUACCCUAUGGGGCUGACGGUACCUGAGGAAUAAGCACCGGCUAACUUCGUGCCAGCAGCCGCGGUAAUACGAAGGGUGCAAGCGUUAAUCGGAAUUACUGGGCGUAAAGGGUGCGUAGGCGGUUGUUUAAGUCUGUCGUGAAAUCCCCGGGCUCAACCUGGGAAUGGCGAUGGAUACUGGACAGCUAGAGUGUGUCAGAGGAUGGUGGAAUUCCCGGUGUA
Molecule: ribosomal RNA, 579 nt
Filed under: Rhodanobacter sp. StRD610
Lineage: Bacteria; Pseudomonadati; Pseudomonadota; Gammaproteobacteria; Lysobacterales; Rhodanobacteraceae
Also listed under: 1 other name
Description: bacterial SSU rRNA
Rfam family: Bacterial small subunit ribosomal RNA
Source: RNAcentral